This 298-nucleotide unclassified non-coding RNA is filed under the name Atractiellales sp. Its description in RNAcentral is "partial contains 5.8S ribosomal RNA, internal transcribed spacer 2, and large subunit ribosomal RNA". Lineage: Eukaryota; Fungi; Basidiomycota; Atractiellomycetes; Atractiellales. The record is from RNAcentral.
CGCACCUUGCACUCCAUGGUAUUCCGUGGAGUAUGUCUGUCUGAGUGUCAUGAAACUCUCAACCCUCUUACCUUUGUUUACCUCGGGCAUUAGGGCUUGGAUCAUGAGUGCCUGCUGGACCUGUGCAUCAGCUCACUCUAAAUGUAUCAGUGGUCUGCAUUCCUUGUUCUGCAGCUGAUCUGGCGUAAUAGGUUUUAUUCGCUGGGCAUCUGCGGGAAUAGCAGGGUAAUGCUUUCCAUUUCCAAACCAUUCUUAAGUGUUUGGCCUCAGAUCAGGCAGGACUACCCGCUGAACUUAA